This is a non-coding RNA of Gasterosteus aculeatus aculeatus (three-spined stickleback), 307 nucleotides long. The record is from RefSeq and is a predicted model, not a curated record. Lineage: Eukaryota; Metazoa; Chordata; Actinopteri; Perciformes; Gasterosteidae.
UGUCUGUGUGCAAGAAGAUGCCAUCUUUUCAGUGUUUCAAAGAUUUUUCAAAAUGAUUUGUGAUUCGGCUCCUGCCUUGAUCCCAGGAGUGGUCAAGCGGUUUCAGCCUCCUGUGACAGUGGAAAUUACCAGCCGUCUUGAGUAAACGUACGGUCCAGAGAAGGCAACCGGGUCCUGCCUCGGGCUCCCUAGGAGUGGCCAAGCAACUUCAGCCUCCUGUGAAAAUUGCCAGCUGAUGAGAGGGGCAAGCAACUUUAGCCUACUGUGGAAAUUGCCUUAUGCUCCUGCCAACUAAGCGAGUAACAGG